Trichobilharzia regenti is the source of this 48-nucleotide non-coding RNA. The record is from Rfam. NCBI's taxonomy places the organism in Eukaryota, Metazoa, Platyhelminthes, Trematoda, Strigeidida, Schistosomatidae.
AUUAGCUGACGAGUUCCAAAUAGGACGAAAUGCGCAUUUUGGUUGGAU